Molecule: ribosomal RNA, 262 nt
Filed under: uncultured bacterium
Lineage: Bacteria
Description: partial 16S ribosomal RNA
Rfam family: Bacterial small subunit ribosomal RNA
Source: RNAcentral
AGCAGCCGCGGUAAUGCGUAGGAUGCAAGCGUUGUCCGGAAUUAGUGGGCGUAAAGAGAACGUAGGCGGCCACUUAAGUUUGGUCUUAAAGACCGGGGCUCAACGCCGGGAAUGGAUCGAAUACUGGGUGGCUAGAGGAUGUCAGAGGAAAGUGGAAUUCCAAGUGUAGCGGUGAAAUGCGUAGAUAUUUGGAGGAACACCAGUGGCGAAAGCGACUUUCUGGGACAUUCCUGACGCUGAGGUUCGAAAGCUCGGGGAGCAA